Molecule: long non-coding RNA, 1144 nt
Organism: Oncorhynchus keta (chum salmon)
Lineage: Eukaryota; Metazoa; Chordata; Actinopteri; Salmoniformes; Salmonidae
Exons: 3
Source: RefSeq, a predicted model, not a curated record
GUCUCUAAACCGAGCAUAUCGAUAGGCUAGUUUACCGUUACCGUUAAAUGCAGUGUUGCUUUGUACAACCGUGGUCUUUUAUGUGAUUGAUUUGAAUCUCUAUCGUUCCAAAUGUUAGUCUACAUUAAGAGGCGUGUCGAAAUAAGCGCAGAGCAGCGAUGCGAUCCUACACGGUUCCCUCUCCCGUUGGGCAUGUGAGGGAUACGGUGUUACUAUUGAGGUCCCGGUGUUGUCCUACACGGUUCCCUCUCCCGUUGGGCAUGUGAGGGAUACGGUGUUACUAUUGAGGUCCCGGUGUUGUCCUACACGGUUCCCUCUCCCGUUGGGCAUGUGAGGGAUACGGUGUUACUAUUGAGGUCCCGGUGUUGUCCUACACGGUUCCCUCUCCCUUUGGGCAUGUGAGGGAUACGGUGUUACUAUUGAGGUCCCGGUUCCCUCUCCCGUUGGGCAUGUGAGGGAUACGGUGUUACUAUUGAGGUCACGGUUCCCUCUCCCAUUGGGCAUGUGAGGGAUACGGUGUUACUAUUGAGGUCCCGGUGUUGUCCUACACGGUUCCCUCUCCCGUUGGGCAUGUGAGGGAUACGGUGUUACUAUUGAGGUCCCGGUGUUGUCCUACACGGUUCCCUCUCCCGUUGGGCAUGUGAGGGAUACGGUGUUACUAUUGAGGUCCCGGUGUUGUCCUACACGGUUCCCUCUCCCGUUGGGCAUGUGAGGGAUACGGUGUUACUAUUGAGGUCCCGGUGUUGUCCUACACGGUUCCCUCUCCCGUUGGGCAUGUGAGGGAUACGGUGUUACUAUUGAGGUCCCGGUGUUGUCCUACACGGUUCCCUCUCCCGUUGGGCAUGUGAGGGAUACGGUGUUACUAUUGAGGUCCCGGUGUUGUCCUACACGGUUCCCUCUCCCGUUGGGCAUGUCUCUCUCUGUUUGUCUCUCUGUCUCUCUCUGUCUCUCUCUGUCUCUGUUUGUCUCUCUGUCUCUCUCUCUGUUUGUCUCUCUGUCUCUCUCUCUGUUUGUCUCUCUGUUUGUCUCUCUGUCUCUCUCUGUCUCUCUCUCUGUUUGUCUCUCUGUCUCUCUCUCUGUUUGUCUCUCUGUCUCUCUCUCUGUUUGUCUCUCUGUCUCUCUCUGUCUCUGUUUGUCUCUCUGU